This 80-nucleotide small RNA is filed under the name Caenorhabditis remanei. RNAcentral describes it as "Nematode sRNA ceN72-3_ceN74-2". It matches the Rfam family "Nematode sRNA ceN72-3_ceN74-2". Lineage: Eukaryota; Metazoa; Nematoda; Chromadorea; Rhabditida; Rhabditidae. The record is from Rfam by way of RNAcentral.
CGACGGUCCGGCGUCAGUGGGUUAUCCUUUCAUGUGUUCCCUUCGGGGAAAUUUCCCAUCGGCACCAACUUGACCGUUAC